UGCAGUCGAGCGGACAGAAGGGAGCUUGCUCCCGGAUGUUAGCGGCGGACGGGUGAGUAACACGUGGGUAACCUGCCUGUAAGACUGGGAUAACUCCGGGAAACCGGAGCUAAUACCGGAUAGUUCCUUGAACCGCAUGGUUCAAGGAUGAAAGACGGUUUCGGCUGUCACUUACAGAUGGACCCGCGGCGCAUUAGCUAGUUGGUGAGGUAACGGCUCACCAAGGCGACGAUGCGUAGCCGACCUGAGAGGGUGAUCGGCCACACUGGGACUGAGACACGGCCCAGACUCCUACGGGAGGCAGCAGUAGGGAAUCUUCCGCAAUGGACGAAAGUCUGACGGAGCAACGCCGCGUGAGUGAUGAAGGUUUUCGGAUCGUAAAGCUCUGUUGUUAGGGAAGAACAAGUGCAAGAGUAACUGCUUGCACCUUGACGGUACCUAACCAGAAAGCCACGGCUAACUACGUGCCAGCAGCCGCGGUAAUACGUAGGUGGCAAGCGUUGUCCGGAAUUAUUGGGCGUAAAGGGCUCGCAGGCGGUUUCUUAAGUCUGAUGUGAAAGCCCCCGGCUCAACCGGGGAGGGUCAUUGGAAACUGGGAAACUUGAGUGCAGAAGAGGAGAGUGGAAUUCCACGUGUAGCGGUGAAAUGCGUAGAGAUGUGGAGGAACACCAGUGGCGAAGGCGACUCUCUGGUCUGUAACUGACGCUGAGGAGCGAAAGCGUGGGGAGCGAACAGGAUUAGAUACCCUGGUAGUCCACGCCGUAAACGAUGAGUGCUAAGUGUUAAGGGGGUUUCCGCCCCUUAGUGCUGCAGCUAACGCAUUAAGCACUCCGCCUGGGGAGUACGGUCGCAAGACUGAAACUCAAAGGAAUUGACGGGGGCCCGCACAAGCGGUGGAGCCAGGUGGUUUAAUUCGAAGCAACGCGAAGAACCUUACCAGGUCUUGACAUCCUCUGACAACCCUAGAAGAUAGGGCUUUCCCUUCGGGGACAGAGUGACAGGUGGUGCAUGGUUGUCGUCAGCUCCUGUCCU
RNAcentral lists this ribosomal RNA (1032 nucleotides) under Bacillus sp. (in: firmicutes). Its description in RNAcentral is "bacterial SSU rRNA". It matches the Rfam family "Bacterial small subunit ribosomal RNA", at positions 56 to 1068 of the family's 1533-position model. Lineage: Bacteria; Bacillati; Bacillota; Bacilli; Caryophanales; Bacillaceae. The record is from RNAcentral.